This 491-nucleotide ribosomal RNA is filed under the name uncultured bacterium. RNAcentral describes it as "partial 16S ribosomal RNA". It matches the Rfam family "Bacterial small subunit ribosomal RNA", at positions 29 to 506 of the family's 1533-position model. The record is from RNAcentral.
AGUGAACGCUGGCGGUAGGCCUAACACAUGCAAGUCGAACGGCAGCACAGUAAGAGCUUGCUCUUACGGGUGGCGAGUGGCGGACGGGUGAGGAAUAUAUCGGAAUCUACUUUUUCGUGGGGGAUAACGUAGGGAAACUUACGCUAAUACCGCAUACGACCUACGGGUGAAAGCAGGGGAUCUUCGGACCUUGCGCGAUUGAAUGAGCCGAUGUCGGAUUAGCUAGUUGGCGGGGUAAAGGCCCACCAAGGCGACGAUCCGUAGCUGGUCUGAGAGGAUGAUCAGCCACACUGGAACUGAGACACGGUCCAGACUCCUACGGGAGGCAGCAGUGGGGAAUAUUGGGCAAUGGGCGCAAGCCUGAUCCAGCCAUACCGCGUGGGUGAAGAAGGCCUUCGGGUUGUAAAGCCUUUUUGUUGGGAAAGAAAAGCAGCAGGUUAAUACCCCGCUGUUCUGACGGUACCCAAAGAAUAAGCACCGGCUAACUUCGU